CGAUGGAGGGGGAUAACUACUGGAAACGGUAGCUAAUACCGCAUAACGUCGCAGACCAAAGAGGGGGACCUUCGGGCCUCUUGCCAUCGGAUGUGCCCAGAUGGGAUUAGCUAGUAGGUGGGGUAACGGCUCACCUAGGCGACGAUCCCUAGCUGGUCUGAGAGGAUGACCAGCCACACUGGAACUGAGACACGGUCCAG
This 200-nucleotide ribosomal RNA is filed under the name uncultured bacterium. RNAcentral's name for it is "partial 16S ribosomal RNA". It matches the Rfam family "Bacterial small subunit ribosomal RNA", at positions 131 to 334 of the family's 1533-position model. The record is from RNAcentral.